UACGGGGGGAGCAAGCGUUGUUCGGAAUCACUGGGCGUAAAGGGAGUCUAGGCGGUUUGGUAAGUGGGAUGUGAAAUCCCCGGGCUCACCCCGGGACCUGCAUCCCAAACUGCUGAGCUUGAGUACAGGAGAGGGUGGGGGAAUUCCAGGUGUAGCGGUGAAAUGCGUAGAUAUCUGGAGGAACACCGGUGGCGAAGGCGCCCACCUGGCCUGCUACUGACGCUGAAGCUCGAAAGCUAGGGGAGCGAAUGGG
Molecule: ribosomal RNA, 253 nt
Filed under: uncultured bacterium
Lineage: Bacteria
Description: partial 16S ribosomal RNA
Rfam family: Bacterial small subunit ribosomal RNA
Source: RNAcentral